GGACCCGCACAAGCGGUGGAGCAUGUGGUUUAAUUCGAAGCAACGCGAAGAACCUUACCAACUCUUGACAUCCCCCUGACCGGUACAGAGAUGUACCUUCCCCUUCGGGGGCAGGGGUGACAGGUGGUGCAUGGUUGUCGUCAGCUCGUGUCGUGAGAUGUUGGGUUAAGUCCCGCAACGAGCGCAACCCUUGUCCUUAGUUGCCAGCAUUCAGUUGGGCACUCUAAGGAGACUGCCGGUGACAAACCGGAGGAAGGUGGGGAUGACGUCAAAUCAUCAUGCCCCUUAUGAGUUGGGCUACACACGUGCUACAAUGGACGGUACAAAGGGCAGCGAAGCCGCGAGGUGGAGCCAAUCCCAGAAAGCCGUUCUCAGUUCGGAUUGCAGGCUGCAACUCGCCUGCAUGAAGUCGGAAUCGCUAGUAA
This 425-nucleotide ribosomal RNA is filed under the name uncultured bacterium. Its description in RNAcentral is "bacterial SSU rRNA". It matches the Rfam family "Bacterial small subunit ribosomal RNA", at positions 917 to 1341 of the family's 1533-position model. The record is from RNAcentral.